GGAGAAAGGAAUGGGCGGCGGCUGGGCUUGGCUUCGACGGAGACAGAGGCGAUUAGGACGGGGCACGGCGACGCAGAUCUGGACGACGGCGCGGAGACAGAGGUUGCGCGGCGCUGGGCAGAGGGUCAAACGGCGCUGGGCGAAGGGUCACACGGCGCUGGGCGGAAGGUCACACGGCGGCCUUGCUUCGCGCGAACAGAGAUGGCGGCCGACGGUUGCAGCGGCGGCUGGGUAUGGUAGAAAAGAAAGAGAAACGGAAGAAGAAUAGGGGCGG
Molecule: long non-coding RNA, 274 nt
Filed under: Cucumis sativus (cucumber)
Lineage: Eukaryota; Viridiplantae; Streptophyta; Magnoliopsida; Cucurbitales; Cucurbitaceae
Description: long non-coding RNA (CSAT_LNC002346)
Source: RNAcentral